Molecule: long non-coding RNA, 1044 nt
Filed under: Lonchura striata (white-rumped munia)
Lineage: Eukaryota; Metazoa; Chordata; Aves; Passeriformes; Estrildidae
Description: domestica (Bengalese finch) lncRNA (ENSLSDG00000000975.1)
Source: RNAcentral
CAAGAGGAGCAGCUGUCGUUUCAACCGGACUGCUACCAACACCCCGAAUCCUCAGGUUGUGGACUUUAUCACUUGUUCUGUUUGUACCAAUUGCAUUUGCCUUUUUAAAUUGUUAUCUAGUUUUCUCCUAGUAAAGAAUUGUUACUCCCAUUCCCAUAUCUUUGCCUGAGAGCCUUUUAAUUUAAAAAUCCUGGUAAUUCGGAGGGAGGGGGUUUACCUUCUCCAUUGCACAGGAGGCUUCUGCCCUCCUUCACAGAUUCCUGUCUUGUCAAAUCAAGACAGUUACAUUGAUUAGUAGUGCUGUAUUAGCAUUUUAAUGGUAGGGUAAAUGUAGAUUUGUUGUUAAAACGGAGCUUUUGUGGUUAAAACAGAAACUCUGUGUGUGGGAAGAAAGGAAUGCGGUACUUGCACCAGGAUGGCAGUCGCAGGACACCAAAAUCUUCCAGAGAAAAAGAAUUUACAGCUUAUUGUAAAUGCAGGCGAGCCGGGGGGAAGAAAUGACGAUGCCUGACUCCAGCUCAGAAGGAUGAAUGGUUUCUUUAUUAGAACUAUACUAAUAUACAUUAAUAUACUGUUUAAAGGAGACACUAAAACUACAAACCUGCUUUUUCUAACUCCCAAAUCUAACUCCUCACAACUCGUGACCCUCUCUGAGAUUCCAGCCCUAGGUGGGUUGGAUUGGCCCCAGGCUCAAACGAUCCUCACCAGAACCCAACCCAGCAACCACCCCACAACAAUUUGGGUAACAAAUGGUUAAACAAUUCUCCAAACACGUUCCACAUACUAAAACAAGCAGCAGAAACAGAAAUUGUUUUCUCUUUCGUUUCCCUCUGUGUUCCUCUGUGAAAAAUGCUGGGAGGCAGAGCAAUGUGCUGCCACAAGGGCUCCCUGAUUAAAGGAAAUUCACUCUCCGUGCCCCGCUCAGCCCUGCGGGCGCCGCGGGAUUGAGCAGAGGCUGCCACUGCUCCGGGUUCUGUGACUGGACAGGAUUGAUGCAUCAUGCAUGAGAUCGAUGAAUAUGCAACAGGCUGCUGCUUUUAGGUU